AACGAACGCUGGCGGCAUGCCUAACACAUGCAAGUCGAACGAAGUCUUCGGACUUAGUGGCGCACGGGUGCGUAACGCGUGGGAAUCUGCCCUUGGGUACGGAAUAACUCAGAGAAAUUUGUGCUAAUACCGUAUAAUGUCUUCGGACCAAAGAUUUAUCGCCCAAGGAUGAGCCCGCGUAAGAUUAGCUAGUUGGUGGGGUAAAAGCCUACCAAGGCGACGAUCUUUAGCUGGUCUGAGAGGAUGAUCAGCCACACUGGGACUGAGACACGGCCCAGACUCCUACGGGAGGCAGGAGUGGGGAAUAUUGGACAAGGGGCGAAGGCCUGAACCAGCAAGGCCGCGUGAGUGAUGAAGGCCCGAGGGUAGAAAAGCUCUUUUACCAGGGAUGAUAAUGACAGUACCUGAAGAAUAAGCCCCGGCUAACUCCGUG
RNAcentral lists this ribosomal RNA (433 nucleotides) under uncultured bacterium. RNAcentral describes it as "partial 16S ribosomal RNA". It matches the Rfam family "Bacterial small subunit ribosomal RNA", at positions 29 to 507 of the family's 1533-position model. The record is from RNAcentral.